UACGUAGGUGGCAAGCGUUGUCCGGAUUCAUUGGGCGUAAAGAGCGUGUAGGCGUCCAGGUAGGUCGGUUGUGAAAACUGGAGGCUCAACCUUCAGAGGUCGACCGAAACCAUCUGGCUAGAGUCCGGGAGAGGAGAGUGGAAUUCCUGGUGUAGCGGUGAAAUGCGCAGAGAUCGGGAGGAACACCAGAGGCGAAGGCGGCGACCUGGACAAGUACUGACACUCAACUGCGAAAGCGUGGGGAGCAAACAGG
Molecule: ribosomal RNA, 253 nt
Filed under: uncultured bacterium
Lineage: Bacteria
Description: partial 16S ribosomal RNA
Rfam family: Bacterial small subunit ribosomal RNA
Source: RNAcentral